RNAcentral lists this long non-coding RNA (7249 nucleotides) under Phaseolus vulgaris (common bean). RNAcentral describes it as "long non-coding RNA (PVUL_LNC004326)". The record is from RNAcentral. Lineage: Eukaryota; Viridiplantae; Streptophyta; Magnoliopsida; Fabales; Fabaceae.
UCUUGUCAUCCCACUCUGCCCAUCCUGCUGGGUCAAUAUGGUUCUCUAUUGUCGACUGCAUCACAACAGUUCUGGAGUACUUCUUCCAUGGUCGACCCAGAUAAGUUUUGAUGGAACCCGCAACAGGCUUGAGAUCUGAGCUGGGUGUUAUGUUACAUUGUUGAAUUGAAGUUCCUGUGUUUUGGUUUGGAUCUUCUCUUCCUUGAGCCGUCACCAUGUUUUUUUGGUUACUCAUGGGCUUUCGGGCCACCAAGUAGCACUUUUGGAAGACGACGGCGGCGUUUCCGAAAAUGAAGUCAACGGUGCCGGUGAUAAAAGAGUCUCUGUAGAACUGCCUGUUGGUGUGUGCGUAGAGAGUGUCUUGAUAGGCAUCUACGCGACAUCGGUUUAUGACGGAUUGGUCGGCACCUACUCGAAGAGCCACUGCUUGGUGCUUCUGUGGGCCUGCAGUGUUCUGGAACCAUAUGUCUUGACCUAUAAAUCCAUCCCCCACAGCAGCUGCAAACCCAUGUUCCUAGUUAGUUUCAGUUUUUCAAAAUUUAUCACUACUCUCACAACUCACAACCAAUUCCACAUAGGAAAAUAGUAGCUUAAUGCAAAAAAGAACAAAGUUUGGUAAAAACAUUGUAGUAAGCAGAAGAAUGAUAUUUGGAGUAUUAUUCUACUAAACUAUUAUUCACGUUUGAUUUUAAAUCUCGUCAAAGUACCAUAAUUCAUUUUGGGUUGAUUUUUUAAUAUCGGGUUAGUUUUUGAAUUUGAAGUCGUUUUUUAACUAUAGUGUUAGUUGUGACAGGGUAUGGUUAUCUAUGUCUCUUUUGUUUUUCUUUUGUUUUGUAACAAGUUUGUAUCAUCCUAAACUUUACCACAUGUAUUAUAUCUUUUAUUUGGUGAUAAAAAAAGCAGAAGAAUGAGAAAAAGAGAGAGAGGGAGAGAUCCAUACCCACAGUUGCAGUCUGAAAUGUGCCCGUUCCGUCAAUAUAAUUCAAGCUGCCGGUAAUUACAGUUAGAUCCUUACCAUCUCCAACGAGCAUCACGUUCUUCUUCUUCUUACCAAUUUCAACAUUCUCUUUAUAUGUUCCUUUUUUCACGUAAAUAACAUACCUUGUCUUACUGUUAUCAGGUGCAGAUGCCACAGCCUCAGCCACAGUCUUGAAUUUCCCACUUCCAUCCUUUGCCACCACAACGUUGGCAUUGAUGUCCCCAACACUGGACUCCAAAAGCCUCCUAUCCUUGCUGCUCAACCAAGAGGGAAACUCCCCAUUCAGUGGCUCAUCGAUUGGUUCAACCCUCGGGGGCAAAACAGUCACAAACAUGGCCAGAGCGGUUCUUGCUCUGGAUAUCAAGUCCUCAAGUUCAGCCUCCAUAAGGGCUCGAGCUGUCCCCUCUAACCCAUCCAAACAAGUUGCAUGGUUAGUGAGCACGCUACUUAGCCAUGUGUGUGCAUCUUGCUGUGACUCAGUGGUUUGGUUUGUUAGAGUUAGCAUUGAGUCCAAAACUCUGUCGAUGGAUAAAUCCAUCAGCUCCACACAGUCGUUCAAAGCUGCUUCCUCCUUGGGACUGUUAACCCUAAGUUUGAUGGAACUAGCUGUGUUCAUGGCUCUCUGAAUGUGUGAGGUGGAUUUCAAUAAGAAAGAGUGGAACAAAUUGAAGCUGUGGUCUUUUGUUGUGGUGAAGAUGGGACCUUGAACCACUUCUGAGAGGUGUGCUAAGCAUGAUGGGUUAUCAAGUGCAUGAUGACAGAGAUGUUGAGGAGAGGAUUGGUUAAGGAAGGAACUGGGUUUGAUGAAAUAAGAAGCAGCAAAGACUGAGGAGCAUAUGAGAGCAGCCAAAGAGAAGAUUAAACAGAUAGUUUUGGUAGCAGAAUUUCUUGGCCUCUCUAGCAGAGAUUCUUGGAUAGCCAUACUUGUAAGUGUUACUAGUGCCUUGUUUUAGCCAUGCAUCAUUGCCCUUAUAUAUAGGCCAAAACACUUCUGUAGAUAACAUAUCAUAAAUGUUUUUUUUUAUAAAUAAAACACCCUAAACAUAAUUUUUUUAAUUUUAAAAAUUAUUUUAUCAUUUUGUUUAUAUUUUCAUGAGAUUUUUUUUUUAUAAAUAUUAAUAUUUUAUUGGAUGUAAGUGAAAUUGGGUGUAAAAAUAUCAUCACCCAUAACAUAUACCUGCUUCUAGAUUUAGAAUAUUUUCAUCAUUUCAUAACAAAAAAAAUUGAAAUUUAUUUUUUAAUAAUUAUAUUACUUUUAAAAAUGAGCUAUUAAAUGAUGGGUGAAAUGUCAAAAUAUUAUUUUUAUUAUUAGAGUGUAAAGAUAUUAAUCCAAAAUAAGAUAAUAAUCUUAUGACACUUUGUUAGAGUCAACACUGAUUAGUAAUCCUAUAGACAUGUAACUUCAAUAAUUCACCGUUUUCUUCCCCUUUGUACUUUGUACUUUGUGGAUGUCACUACUCAAGAGACAUGUGGCUUCAAUAAUUCACCAUUUUCUUCUCCUUUAUAUGUUGUGGAUCCCACCAUAUAUUCUUUCUGUAAACCGUGUGUUGCACGUGAUUUUAUUUAAAAAUAUAAUAUAUUUCUUAUAUAAAUUUGAUUUCACAAAAUUUAAAAUAAUAACAAAUAAUAUGUAUAAUAUAUAUAAAAGUUUAUUAUUAUAUAACUUUGAAAUUAUAUUUGAAAUAUAAUUUUAAACCUAAAGUCGUACAUUCUAUAUACUCUUUUCAAAUAAAAAAUCCUAUACUCAAAAUCUUUUUAUAUAUACUUAAAGAAUGGGUGAAAGUGUUCAUACUACAUUUGAGAAAACUUUUAGCUUGUGAUAACAUAAGAUAAUGUUAUAAAAAUGUGAGGAGAGCCUCUUUUCACAUCUUAUCAUACGCUUCGACGUGUGGUUUGGAUUAAAUUUUCAAAUUUAAUUUUUAUUAUUUUACUUGUCUUUUGUCGGUAGAACGUGAAGAGCAACGACAAGUUCAUGUCCCAUUUGUGACAUGUCCAAAUGUAUAUAGAAACGUGGAGAGAGAAGAGAACAUGUUAUUUUUCACAUUUUUACGACACCAAUUCAAUUGUGUGUAGAAGUAAGAAAAAUUCCACGUACUAAAUAUUAGAGCAUUCUCAUAUUAUAUAUUCUGAUAUUAUAUAUUCUCAUAUUAUAUAAGUGCGUGCAAACUUCAUCCCAUGAGUCGAUUUUAUGAGGUUGAGUUAGGCUUAAAGUCCACUUUGUAAUAUGGUAUUAGGAGUCAUUUUGAACAUAUCCUAACUAGUGUUUGGGUUGGAUCUAUCGUGUCACCCGCUAUCGGACCACUAUUGGACCAUCCAUAAUAUAUAGUCUCACGCACGAGUUGACAAGUGCAAACCUCACCCUAUGAGCCGGUUUUAUGGGGUUGAGUUAGACUUAAAGUUUACUUUGUAAUCAAAUUCUCUUCAUUUUAUCAUUAAAUUAAGUUAUUAUCCAUAUUUUUUCAUGUGAUUUUCAUCAAAAUUCUACCGAUUUAAACUACAAGUAUAAUUAAAUUUUAAGUUAACUUUAGUUUUGGAUGUAUUAUGUUGUUUCAUUCAGUUCAAUUGAGCCUUAGACUAAAUAUCUUUGUUUAAGAUACCUUAAAAAUAUAUUAAUUAAUUAAAAUAAUAAUAUAAAACACAUAAACGGCUAAAAGAAAAUAAUAAAGACAAGUGAUGUAAGGAACGUAUUUUAUGGUUCCAUUUAUUUAUUUUUUAUUGCUGAUAAAAAUAAGUAUUUUAGCUGAAAAUAAAUUAAUAAUUAAACUUAAAAAUAUCAUAUAAGUAUUAAAUUUGAGCAAUGCGAUUCAUAUAAUAUAUUAAAAUGAAAAGUCACUUUUAUUAACUAAUAAAAUUUUAUUUUUUUUGGAAAUAAUAUAUUUUAAAUUUAUUAACGUAGCCAGAACUAAAAUAUAUUUAAACAAAUUUCUCUAAGUAAGUCUGUUUGGGAAAAAUCAAAAAAUGAAAUGAAAUUUAAAUUUUUGUAUAGAUAAACUAAAAAUAAGAAUUUAGAUAAGUUAUAUAAAAGAGCUGUUAUAUAUUAAUUUUUAGUUAUAUAUUAUUUAUAUAUACCUAUAAAAGAGUUUAUCCAAAUAUAUUCUAAAUAUUCCAUCAUAAUAAUGUUAGUGCAUUCGUUGUGUCCUUAGAACUAAAAUAAAAUAACCUUUUUUUAUAUUAUUUAUUUUAAAAAUAAAUAUCAGUAUUGUGUUAUUAAUUUAUUAUUUAUUAUUAGUAUUAAUGGUUUAUUUUUAUGUUAUUAUUAUAAAAAAAAUAGCAACAUAUUGCAUUUAAGGUUUUCACCAAUUCAAAAUGUUGUCCGUUGUUCACAAUAAAUGUAAUAAUGUAUUGAAAUUUUAAAAUGUACGAGAUGAUAAGCAUAGUAUAUAUAUAUAUAUCAUAAUUAAUUAAAAAUCAUAGUAUUUUAAUCUAAAAUAUUAAAAGUACAUUUUAAUUUUUAAUAAUAUAAUAUUAUAAUCUCCAAAUUAUAAUACAUAUGCAGAUCAUGUAUGCCAAAUCAUAUAUCGAUAACGUAUCACACUUGUUACAUAAACAUAACUUUCAAGUCUUGGACAAACAAAGUCAUAUAAAGCCUAAUACCAUAUAUUUUUAAUUUUUAAAAUAAUAUUUAAUUUAAUUGAUGUAAUAAUUAUUUAUUUUUUAAUCAACCGUGACACCACAAAAUAAACUCCUUAAGUUUAAACUUUUAUAUUUAUAUUUUUUCAGUUAUUAAAAACAUUUUGCAACCUACAAAAUAUGACGUUAAAAGUUAUUCUUUUGUUUGAAAGCAUAUUUUUAAAUUGCGUAAAUAAAAGUAAUAAAAAAGGAAAAAAGGUAUAAAAUAUUAUAAUAUUUACGAUGUGUUUACAUCAAGUCAAAUACUAUUAAUUACGUCGAGAAAAGGAAAUUUUUUUCUCUUUCACAUGCAGAAAUACACUAAGAAAGACACGUAAAAUUCGGUGAUAACAAAUAAAUGCUCCUCUGAAAUACGAGAUGACCAUUUUUUUCUUUAUUUUUUAAAUUAUUUUUAAAGAUAAAAAUAUAUUUGUAAACUUAUAUUUUUAAUAUUUUUAAUAUUUUAAUUUUUUUUUAUAUUUAUCACACUACUUAUAAAAUUCAAUUAUUUUUUUUUCACAAAUUCAAAAUACAUAUUUUAUUCCAAAUAAUCUAACUAUUUUUCAAUUUCCUUUCAAAUCAUUUAAAAUUUACUUCUCCCGACACUCACAUAUUUUUGUUUCUAAUAUGUAUUUUUUUUUAAAUAAUAAAACUUAUCAUUAUCAAUAAUUAAUAAUGGCAGCAAACAAGAAAAAUUAUUAAAUAAAAAUUAAUUUUAGAGAUUAAUUUUUUUAAAUUUUUAUUAUUGUUAAAUAAUUUUUAAUUUGAUAUGUAAUUAAUUACAAAUAUUUUUCUAUCAAAUUUAAAAUAUAGAUUAUUGAUAAUUAAAACCUUGAUAAUUAGUUAGAUAUCAAUUUAAAAACUGUUUUUUUAUAUUUAAAAUGAUUUAUAAUUUAAUUAAUAUAACAAUUAAUUAUUUUUUUCUAUAAAAUUAAUUUUUUUUUAAUACAAGAAAGCAUGAUGGACAGUGGAGUACCAUAAUUUCAAUCCAAGUAAAUUGUCUUUACCCACUUAUACAUGUCUAAAGUUCAGCAUCUUUUGCACUAUUGAGUGUAAAGAAAUAGACUCAAGAAAUUACCAUAAAUUGUAAAAUCAUUACAAGAUUGAAGUGAAUCAACUAUUUUUUUUAAUGAAUGUGAAAAAAGUUAUAUUCUACAUACAAACAUGAUUUUAAUUUUUUAUAUAUUUUAUAACGUAAGAUUGUGUUUGAUAUAUUUUUUUAUUUCACAUUUAAAGUGUCAUGUGAUAUCCAAAUAUUAAGUUGAAGCCUUUAUCAUCCUACAUAAACCUAUUAUAAUUAAAAUUUGUCAUAAAGUGUAGAUAUUAAAUUUAAAAACUAACCCAACCAACCAUGUUCUAAUAAAGGGACCAAUUACCACACCUUUCAUUUGACAGUACCAGUAGUUCCAAACUUAGCAAGAAAGAAACUAAUGAAUAAAUGUAUAACUGAAUACUGAAUAGCACUUACUACCAAAACACAAAACUCCACAUUUCUCAAUUUCUCACAUCGUCUAACAUUUAAGACACUUCUCAAUAAUAUUUUCUUUUUCUUUUUCUUUUUCUGUUUUCACAUGUGAAGUAUAAAAGUACUAUUGUUUUUCAAUUUUUUAAAAAUAGAAGUAGAAAAUAAAAAACAAUUGUUUUGUUUUCCUACAUAUAUAUAUAUAUAUAAUUAAUUAAUAGAUGGAAAGGUAGUUUUAAUUAAUUACAGCUUCAUGGAAACAAUAAUUUUUAUAUUUAUUUGAUUUUCUUAUAAAUAUUUAUCGAAUCUUCUUUAUAAGACUGAAUUUAUUAUAUUUUAUUUCUUCUUCUUUCUUUUGUAAGGUGGAGUUGUAUUAUUUUUACCUUUUAAUUAUAUUUUCUUAUUUUUAACCCUUUUAUUAUAUAACAUAUUGAUAGUAACCUUUUAAUAAGGGUUGUAAACUUGAAGUGUUCCCUUUAAAUUAAAAUAUUUUUUUACAUUUAAUUUUAAAUUUAUGUUUUAUUAUAUAUAUUUAUUUUUAAACUGAUUACAUCAAUAGAGUUGUAUACAGCUCGGGUUAUGAAAUUAUGAUUUUCAAUAAUAAUAUCCAGGACUUAGGGUCCUGACAUAAGUUUAUUUUACGUUAAACAUUAUAUAGUACCAAUACAAAAGCGCAAACCUUAGUCGUGCCCCAACAUAGCAAAGAUUGCAUUUUAGAGGCCUUCCGUGUAGUUGACCCCGGUGUUUUUCAGCCAAACAUUUCCUUGGAUGAGCUGUGUUACUGUGAACUUUGAGGCUUCUGUUGCAGUUAUGCUCUUAUGGUAACCAGGCCAGUUCACUCUCUUGCUGCUUCCAGCACCUGCUCCACUGUUAUUGUACUCUGCAUAAUACAAUGUUUGCAAAAAGUCCUUACUCUUUUCAUCCCACUCUGCCCAUCCUGUUGGGUAAAUAUGGUUCUCUAUUGUCGACUGCAUCACCACAGUUCUGGAGUACUUCUUCCAUGGUCGACCCAGAUAAGUUUUGAUGGAACCCACAACAGGCUUAAGAUCUGAGCUGGGUGUUAGGUUACAUUGUUGAAUUGAAGUUCCUGUGUUUUGGUUUGGAUCUUCUCUUCCUUGAGCCGUCACCAUGUUUUUUUGGUUACUCAUGGGCUUUCGGGCAACCAAGUUGCACUUUUGGAAGACGACGGCGGCGUUUCC